Molecule: ribosomal RNA, 419 nt
Filed under: uncultured Bacteroidota bacterium
Lineage: Bacteria; Pseudomonadati; Bacteroidota
Description: bacterial SSU rRNA
Rfam family: Bacterial small subunit ribosomal RNA
Source: RNAcentral
CUCAACUUCGGGAUUGCCAUUGAAACUGUUUCACUUGAGUGUAGUCGAGGAUGGCGGAAUGAGUUGUGUAGCGGUGAAAUGCAUAGAUAUAACUCAGAACACCUAUUGUGAAGGCAGCUGUCUAGGCUACAACUGACGCUGAGGCACGAAAGCGUGGGGAGCGAACAGGAUUAGAUACCCUGGUAGUCCACGCUGUAAACGAUGAUCACUCGUUGUUGGCUACUUGGUAGUCAGUGACUAAGGGAAACCGUUAAGUGAUCCACCUGGGGAGUACGUCGGCAACGAUGAAACUCAAAGGAAUUGACGGGGGCCCGCACAAGCGGAGGAACAUGUGGUUUAAUUCGAUGAUACGCGAGGAACCUUACCUGGGCUUAAAUGCAGGCUGCAUUUCCGUGAAAGCGGAAUUUCCUUCGGGACCG